UUGCUCAUUGUGCCUCUCUUGAAAAACAUCUUCUACUCCAUUCUUGAAGAGAUCCAAGGCAAAUCAAUUGAAGAUCCAAGAUAAUAUUCUUCUUCUACAUCUUCUUCAAGAGAUCCAAGACAAUAUUGAUUGAAGAUUUUAUCUAUGCAAUUCUUGUGAUCCGGCAACCAUUUCUUGGGAAAACAUCAAACAUUCUUGAAGACAAACACCUGGCUUCCUCAACUGAUUGAAGGAAGGAACUCUCUCUUUGGUGGAUUGAGAGAGUGGUGCAAGGUGCAGUUACAAGCACAAGAACAGGAGGUUCUUGGCGUUCCACUUGUGAGGAUAUUCAGUACAAGAUCAGAAGACUGUAGGAGACAGCAGAUUGGGCUGCAGGAGGUGGA
RNAcentral lists this long non-coding RNA (383 nucleotides) under Olea europaea (common olive). RNAcentral's name for it is "long non-coding RNA (OEUR_LNC005174)". Lineage: Eukaryota; Viridiplantae; Streptophyta; Magnoliopsida; Lamiales; Oleaceae. The record is from RNAcentral.